CGCUGGCGGCAUGCCUAAUACAUGCAAGUCGAACGCUGAAACACUCUGCUUGCAGAGUGUGGAUGAGUGGCGAACGGGUGAGUAACACGUGGGGAAUCUGCCUAUAAGUGGGGGAUAACAUUCGGAAACGGAUGCUAAUACCGCAUAUAUUCAAAAACCGCAUGGUUUCUGAAAGAAAGACGGCUUUACUGUCGCUUAUAGAUGAUCCCGCGGCGUAUUAGUUAGUUGGUGGGGUAAUGGCCUACCAAGACCAUGAUACGUAGCCGACCUGAGAGGGUGAUCGGCCACACUGGGACUGAGACACGGCCCAGACUCCUACGGGAGGCAGCAGUAGGGAAUCUUCCACAAUGGGUGCAAACCUGAUGGAGCAAUGCCGCGUAGAAUGAAGAAGGUCUUCGGAUCGUAAAGUUCUGUUAUUAGAGAAGAACAAGUCAAGGAGUAACUGUCUUGACUUUGACGGUACCUAACCAGAAAGUCACGGCUAACUACGUGCCAGCCGCUGC
Molecule: ribosomal RNA, 503 nt
Filed under: uncultured bacterium
Lineage: Bacteria
Description: bacterial SSU rRNA
Rfam family: Bacterial small subunit ribosomal RNA
Source: RNAcentral